GAUGAACGCUGGCGGCGUGCCUAAUACAUGCAAGUCGAGCGAACAGACGAGGAGCUUGCUCCUCUGACGUUAGCGGCGGACGGGUGAGUAACACGUGGAUAACCUACCUAUAAGACUGGGAUAACUUCGGGAAACCGGAGCUAAUACCGGAUAAUAUAUUGAACCGCAUGGUUCAAUAGUGAAAGACGGUUUUGCUGUCACUUAUAGAUGGAUCCGCGCCGCAUUAGCUAGUUGGUAAGGUAACGGCUUACCAAGGCGACGAUGCGUAGCCGGUCUGAGAGCAUGAUCAGCCACACUGGAACUGGGACACGCUCCAGACUCCUACGGGAGGCAGCAGGGGGGAAUAUGGGACAAUGGGCGCAAGCCUGAUCCAGCCAUACCGCGUGGGUGAAGAAGGCCUUCGGGUUGUAAAGCCCUUUUGUUGGGAAAGAAAAGCAGCAGGUUAAUACCCCGCUGUUCUGCCGGUACCCAAAGAAUAAGCACCGGCUAACUUCGUG
Molecule: ribosomal RNA, 497 nt
Filed under: uncultured bacterium
Lineage: Bacteria
Description: partial 16S ribosomal RNA
Rfam family: Bacterial small subunit ribosomal RNA
Source: RNAcentral